Molecule: ribosomal RNA, 252 nt
Filed under: uncultured bacterium
Lineage: Bacteria
Description: partial 16S ribosomal RNA
Rfam family: Bacterial small subunit ribosomal RNA
Source: RNAcentral
ACGGAGGGUCCAAGCGUUAUCCGGAAUCAUUGGGUUUAAAGGGUUCGCAGGCGGUUUAAUAAGUCAGUGGUGAAAUCUCGGGGCUCAACCUCGAAACUGCCAUUGAUACUGUUAGACUUGAAUACAGUUGGAGUAGGCGGAAUGUGUAGUGUAGCGGUGAAAUGCUUAGAUAUUACACAGAACACCGAUAGCGAAGGCAGCUUACUAAACUGUGAUUGACGCUCAUGAACGAAAGCGUGGGGAGCGAACAGG